This 403-nucleotide ribosomal RNA is filed under the name Verrucomicrobiota bacterium. RNAcentral describes it as "Verrucomicrobia bacterium partial 16S ribosomal RNA". It matches the Rfam family "Bacterial small subunit ribosomal RNA", at positions 355 to 776 of the family's 1533-position model. The record is from RNAcentral. Lineage: Bacteria; Pseudomonadati; Verrucomicrobiota.
UGGGGAAUAUUGCACAAUGGGGGAAACCCUGAUGCAGCGACGCCGCGUGAGCGAAGAAGGCCUUCGGGUCGUAAAGCUCUUUUAUAUGGGAAGAUAAUGACGGUACCAUAAGAAAAAGCCCCGGCUAACUACGUGCCAGCAGCCGCGGUAAUACGUAGGGGGCUAGCGUUGUCCGGAAUCACUGGGCGUAAAGGGUUCGCAGGCGGCAAUGCAAGUCAGAUGUAAAAGGCAAAGGCUCAACCUUUGUAAGCAUCUGAAACUGUAUAGCUUGAGAAGUGUAGAGGUAAGUGGAAUUUUUAGUGUAGCGGUGAAAUGCGUAGAUAUUAAAAAGAAUACCGGUGGCGAAGGCGACUUACUGGGCUCAUUCUGACGCUGAGGAACGAAAGCGUGGGUAGCAAACAGG